Molecule: ribosomal RNA, 253 nt
Filed under: uncultured bacterium
Lineage: Bacteria
Description: partial 16S ribosomal RNA
Rfam family: Bacterial small subunit ribosomal RNA
Source: RNAcentral
UACGGAGGAUGCAAGCGUUAUCCGGAAUGAUUGGGCGUAAAGCGUCCGCAGGUGGCUAUGUAAGUCUGCUGUUAAAGAGCAAGGCUCAACCUUGUAAAGGCAGUGGAAACUACAUGGCUAGAGUGCGUUCGGGGCAGAGGGAAUUCCUGGUGUAGCGGUGAAAUGCGUAGAGAUCAGGAAGAACACCGGUGGCGAAAGCGCUCUGCUAGGCCGCAACUGACACUGAGGGACGAAAGCCAGGGGAGCGAAUGGG